RNAcentral lists this ribosomal RNA (270 nucleotides) under Salmonella enterica subsp. enterica serovar Heidelberg. RNAcentral describes it as "partial 16S ribosomal RNA". It matches the Rfam family "Bacterial small subunit ribosomal RNA", at positions 1 to 267 of the family's 1533-position model. RNAcentral also lists the same sequence under 6 other names. Lineage: Bacteria; Pseudomonadati; Pseudomonadota; Gammaproteobacteria; Enterobacterales; Enterobacteriaceae. The record is from RNAcentral.
AAAUUGAAGAGUUUGAUCAUGGCUCAGAUUGAACGCUGGCGGCAGGCCUAACACAUGCAAGUCGAACGGUAACAGGAAGCAGCUUGCUGCUUCGCUGACGAGUGGCGGACGGGUGAGUAAUGUCUGGGAAACUGCCUGAUGGAGGGGGAUAACUACUGGAAACGGUGGCUAAUACCGCAUAACGUCGCAAGACCAAAGAGGGGGACCUUCGGGCCUCUUGCCAUCAGAUGUGCCCAGAUGGGAUUAGCUAGUUGGUGAGGUAACGGCUCA